GGUGGCGUAGCUCAACGGUAGAGCUCACAAGAAAUAUCAAACGUUAGUUAGGAUCAGGGGGGACUGCCCAAGUGGUGGAACUUGAACUGCUAGUGUCUGGUUGCGAAUUGUGGUAUUGAGCUGGUUCGACUCCAGCCGUCACCA
Non-coding RNA from Hyaloscypha hepaticicola, 144 nucleotides. Lineage: Eukaryota; Fungi; Ascomycota; Leotiomycetes; Helotiales; Hyaloscyphaceae. The record is from the annotation of a GenBank genome assembly.